Molecule: long non-coding RNA, 952 nt
Filed under: Solanum tuberosum (potato)
Lineage: Eukaryota; Viridiplantae; Streptophyta; Magnoliopsida; Solanales; Solanaceae
Description: long non-coding RNA (STUB_LNC005899)
Source: RNAcentral
AAUUUUGGUCACUCACAGUAUCAUUUAUUCUAGGCUUAAGUCAUAUGUGGCUCCUUAAAGUUGUCUGUAUAAUUCACUUAGACACCUUAACAGACCUUGUUUCCUAUUAGACACUCCAAUCUUUAAAAAAUAAAUAUCUAUUGAACAUUUUUCUGACACUUAGUCUAAAGAGAAAGUGUGUGUAAUACACAUACAUAUGAGGUGGCAAAAUGACAAAUCAAAUGAAGACAUGUGGCAUUUUAAUUUAAAAUAAAUGAAUUUUGAAUAUAAUAAAACCCUAAAAGAAUAUACUUUAAACUAAAAAAAUAAAAAUUAUACACCCCUAACCACACCCCACCCCCACCCCACGCCCGCACCCCACCCACCUCAAAUCUCUCCAUUUCUUCUAUUUCCUUAACAGAACUACCUUGUCCACCAUUGUUAACCUCCAUUUAGAAAAAUUAGAGGUUUUAACAUAUAUUAUGUAUGAAUUUAUUAUUUUUAUUUCUCUUUAUGCCUUCUUUCUUAUUUUCAUUUAAAUUGAUAUUGUUUUCUUAAAAGAUUCGUUUUUUUUAUUUUUUUUUAUUUCAAUUUUUAUUUUUUCUGUUCGAUUUGUGAGGGAGAAGGGUUUGUGGGGGAGAGGUGAAGAGGGAGAGAGAAAAUAUUUAAAUAAUAAUCUCCAUUUUUUCCGGAAAAGAAGAUAUGGAUGGUCUCCAUUUUUUCCGGCAAAGAAGAUGUAGAUAAUAAUCUCCAUUUUAUUUGAUAAAGAACUAGUGAUCUCCAUCUUUUUUCUACGGAAGUGACAGUAAGAUGAUUUAAAAAAAGAAAGAAGGAAAUUUGUGGGGAAAAAAUGGUGAUGGAUUGUAUUGAAGAAGUGGUUGCAAUAGGUGUGUGGUUUUAAAAGAGAGGAAGAAGAAAAAGAUUGUUAUUUUUUUAAAACAAUAAUGAGAAAUAAAAAGAAAAUAUUGAAAAG